This is a long non-coding RNA of Bos taurus (domestic cattle), 961 nucleotides long. The record is from Ensembl. Lineage: Eukaryota; Metazoa; Chordata; Mammalia; Artiodactyla; Bovidae.
GGCCAAGUCAUAUCGGACUUUUCUCAAUCCCCCGGACUGCAGCAUGCCAGGCUUCCUUGUUCCUCAUCGUCUCCUGGAGUUUGCUCAAAUUCAUGUCCAUUGACUUGGACAGUCAGUUGUUUGAUACAUGGUUCUAACUGUUGCUUCUUGACCUGCAUACAGGUUUCUCAGGAGACAGGGAGAGAUCAAGAUGACAGAGGAUAUGGAGCUCACCUUCCUCCAUGAACACGUCAAAAAUAUAUCUACAUGUGGGACAAUUACCACUGACAAUUAACUGGAAACUGGGAGAGGACUCCUAUACUACCAAGGCUGCAAGAAAGAUCCAGCUACAAUCAGGUAGAAAGGAAAGAAAAGUAAUCAAGUAGAGACCUGUGUCCCUGAGGGAGGACUCAGAAGAGGAGGGGCAUUAGAUACUGAAACCCCAGCAGGUGGAGGAAGUUAAACACAUGAUGACCAGACAGUAGCCGUGACAUAAGCUGCCACAAUUCUGAGAAUUGGCCUCAAGGAAAUGGAAACAAACCGGCCCUGGAACUGAAGACUAAUUGUACUUAAAACAAUCACCACAUGACCAACUUUAAGAAGACUGGCGGAGCUGACUGUGUCUGCAUGAAGCCCCCUCUGUCUAUAAAAGCUCUUGCCCACUGCUUGUCAGUGGGGGGUGUCAGCCUUUGGACUAGAGUCUGCCCUUUCCCCCACCUCAGUUGCCAGCAUCUGAAAUAAAGUAAACUUACCUUUCCACAAAACUUGUCUUGCUAUUGGCUUUUGAGGGGUGAGUAGCCAGACCUCCACUUUUGGUUACACUUCCUACAGGGGCAGCCUUGGAAAGGAGGCAGGACAGAGGUUCAGGAAGGCAAAUGAAGGAGAGAAGGGCUCUUCAAUCUUCGUCCUUCAACAGUAACAACUGACAUGGACAGAGGACUGUCUUUUGCCAGACACCAUCCUGAGAGCCUUAACAUGUAAC